This 301-nucleotide ribosomal RNA is filed under the name uncultured bacterium. Its description in RNAcentral is "partial 16S ribosomal RNA". It matches the Rfam family "Bacterial small subunit ribosomal RNA", at positions 509 to 808 of the family's 1533-position model. The record is from RNAcentral.
CAGUCGCGCGGGAAUACGGAGGGAGCUAGCGUUGUUCGGAAUUACUGGGCGUAGAGCGCGCGUAGGCGGUUACUCAAGUCAGAGGUGAAAGCCCGGGGCUCAACCCCGGAACUGCCUUUGAAACUAGGUGACUAGAAUCUUGGAGAGGUCAGUGGAAUUCCGAGUGUAGAGGUGAAAUUCGUAGAUAUUCGGAAGAACACCAGUGGCGAAGGCGACUGACUGGACAAGUAUUGACGCUGAGGUGCGAAAGCGUGGGGAGCAAACAGGAUUAGAUACCCGGGUAGUCCCUGUCUCUUAUACA